GCGGCGUUUCUUGUUUCCUCUAUACAUGGACAAACAACUAUGCCAUGGGAAUUGCGUUACCAUGCCUACUUCAUGAACGAGAUUGAGUCAUGGAUUGUGAUUGCUGCAGACUGGGUGGCAGUUUUAGUUUGUUCAUUGGCCAUUGCUGGCUUGCUUCAUAGCUCACGAUCUCAUCGACAAUGGCUUUGGUCCUCCUGCUGCAUUGGUGUUUUGCUAGCGGUUUUCUGGUUAUAUAAUA
Long non-coding RNA from Erigeron canadensis, 238 nucleotides. RefSeq lists it as uncharacterized. The record is from RefSeq and is a predicted model, not a curated record. The transcript is spliced from 3 exons. Lineage: Eukaryota; Viridiplantae; Streptophyta; Magnoliopsida; Asterales; Asteraceae.